RNAcentral lists this ribosomal RNA (497 nucleotides) under uncultured bacterium. RNAcentral's name for it is "partial 16S ribosomal RNA". It matches the Rfam family "Bacterial small subunit ribosomal RNA", at positions 28 to 507 of the family's 1533-position model. The record is from RNAcentral.
GACGAACGCUGGCGGCGUGCCUAAUACAUGCCAGUUGAGCGCUGAAGGUUGGUACUUGUACCAACUGGAUGAGCAGCGAACGGGUGAGUAACGCGUGGGGAAUCUGCCUUUGAGCGGGGGACAACAUUUGGAAACGAAUGCUAAUACCGCAUAAAAACUUUAAACACAAGUUUUAAGUUUGAAAGAUGCAAUUGCAUCACUCAAAGAUGAUCCCGCGUUGUAUUAGCUAGUUGGUGAGGUAAAGGCUCACCAAGGCGAUGAUACAUAGCCGACCUGAGAGGGUGAUCGGCCACAUUGGGACUGGGACACGGCCCAAACUCCUAAGGGAGGCAGCAGGAGGGAAUCUUCGGACAUGGACGAAAGGCCGAACGAGGAACGCCGCGGGAGGGAAGAAGGUUUUCGGAUCGGAAAACUCGGUUGGUAGAGAAGAACGUUGGUGAGAGUGGAAAGCUCAUCAAGUGACGGUAACUACACAGAAAGGGACGGCUAACUACGUG